GCGGAUCUAGAAAUGGACGAAGUAUAUGCUCAGAUGAUGCUUCAACCUGUUCCCUCUAUUGACUUGUCUUCCCACAUUGUUAGGGUUUACUUGACUUUGAAGAUUGACUUGUCUUCCCACAUUUGAUUUUUUUUGCAUCUAGUAUGUUGGG
Molecule: non-coding RNA, 151 nt
Organism: Camellia sinensis
Lineage: Eukaryota; Viridiplantae; Streptophyta; Magnoliopsida; Ericales; Theaceae
Source: RefSeq, a predicted model, not a curated record